UCCUGUGCCCACACACUGAUGUAAACCAGGAAUAACUCCACCACCACGUAGAUUGCAUCCUGUCCCAAGCGGUGGCACCCAAUGCCCAGUUUCUAACAGAGACCCCUAAGCCUCCACUGGAAAGGUGGUUCAACCACACAGCUGGUGGGAAGGUCUAAGCCUUCACUGGGAAGGUGGUUCAACCACACAGCUGGUGGGAAGGAGACUCUGGGGCUGGGAAAACUCUCAACAGGAGAGCUGGAUACAGCUGGCAGUGCAAGGAGAGACCUCUCCAGAGAGAGCAGCAGGAGGCAUUGCAAGCAGAUCUUUGAUGCUGCGGAUCAGAGAUGGACCCUGGUGAAAACUGGAAGCUGGAUGAAACAAACUGGUUGUCUCAUGGUGGGAUCCACCCCUUUUCCAAUGUGAAAGGAGGUAGGAUAUGAUUGCUGGCUCUUAAUCCACCCAGUGAAAGUGCUGAGAGCCUUCCCAAUGUGCUGCUGCCAUUCACUGUGCUUGCAGUGGUCCCAGGGGUUUUGCUGGGCUAUGUCCAGAGCCAGGCAGUACUUGGUAUGAAGGUGGGAAAGGUCAGAUCCAA
This 574-nucleotide long non-coding RNA is filed under the name Ficedula albicollis (Collared flycatcher). RNAcentral's name for it is "lncRNA (ENSFALG00000023371.1)". Lineage: Eukaryota; Metazoa; Chordata; Aves; Passeriformes; Muscicapidae. The record is from RNAcentral.